CCUACGGGAGGCAGCAGUGGGGAAUAUUGGGCAAUGGGCGCAAGCCUGACCCAGCAACGCCGCGUGAAGGAAGAAGGCUUUCGGGUUGUAAACUUCUUUUGUCAGGGACGAAGCAAGUGCCGGUACCUGACGAAUAAGCCACGGCUAACUACGUGCCAGCAGCCGCGGUAAUACGUAGGUGGCAAGCGUUAUCCGGAUUUACUGGGUGUAAAGGGCGUGUAGGCGGGGAGACAAGUCAGAUGUGAAAACCACGGGCUCAACCUGUGGCCUGCAUUUGAAACUGUUGUUCUUGAGUGCUGGAGAGGCAAUCGGAAUUCCGUGUGUAGCGGUGAAAUGCGUAGAUAUACGGAGGAACACCAGUGGCGAAGGCGGAUUGCUGGACAGCAACUGACGGUGAGGCGCGAAAGCGUGGGGAGCAAACAGGAUUAGAUACCCGAGUAGUC
This 443-nucleotide ribosomal RNA is filed under the name uncultured bacterium. RNAcentral's name for it is "partial 16S ribosomal RNA". It matches the Rfam family "Bacterial small subunit ribosomal RNA", at positions 338 to 795 of the family's 1533-position model. The record is from RNAcentral.